RNAcentral lists this ribosomal RNA (549 nucleotides) under uncultured bacterium. RNAcentral describes it as "partial 16S ribosomal RNA". It matches the Rfam family "Bacterial small subunit ribosomal RNA", at positions 355 to 920 of the family's 1533-position model. The record is from RNAcentral.
UGGGGAAUAUUGCACAAUGGGCGAAAGCCUGAUGCAGCAACGUCGCGUGAGUGAUGAAGGCCUUCGGGUUGUAAAGCUCUGUCUUUUGGGACGAUAAUGACGGUACCAAAGGAGGAAGCCACGGCUAACUACGUGCCAGCAGCCGCGGUAAUACGUAGGUGGCAAGCGUUGUCCGGAUUUACUGGGCGUAAAGGAUGCGUAGGCGGAUUUUUAAGUGAGAUGUGAAAUACCCGGGCUUAACUUGGGUGCUGCAUUUCAAACUGGGAAUCUAGAGUGCGGGAGAGGAGAAUGGAAUUCCUAGUGUAGCGGUGAAAUGCGUAGAGAUUAGGAAGAACACCAGUGGCGAAGGCGAUUCUCUGGACCGUAACUGACGCUGAGGCAUGAAAGCGUGGGUAGCAAACAGGAUUAGAUACCCUGGUAGUCCACGCCGUAAACGAUGAGUACUAGGUGUAGGAGGUAUCGACCCCUUCUGUGCCGCAGUUAACACAAUAAGUACUCCGCCUGGGAAGUACGAUCGCAAGAUUAAAACUCAAAUGAAUUGACGGGGUC